AGUAUAAUAACUGGGUCAACUGGUGGUUCCAUUCCAAGUUUUCUAAGGAAUCUUCAUACUGCUUUCCAUAAUGGUUGCACCAGUUUGCAGUCCCACCAACAAU
RNAcentral lists this microRNA precursor (103 nucleotides) under Marmota monax (woodchuck). Lineage: Eukaryota; Metazoa; Chordata; Mammalia; Rodentia; Sciuridae. The record is from RNAcentral.